This 251-nucleotide ribosomal RNA is filed under the name uncultured bacterium. Its description in RNAcentral is "partial 16S ribosomal RNA". It matches the Rfam family "Bacterial small subunit ribosomal RNA", at positions 524 to 775 of the family's 1533-position model. The record is from RNAcentral.
UACGUAGGGUGCGAGCGUUGUCCGGAAUUACUGGGCGUAAAGAGCUCGUAGGUGGUUUGUCGCGUUGUUCGUGAAAACUCACAGCUCAACUGUGGGCGUGCGGCGAUACGGGCAGACUGGAGUACUGCAGGGGAGACUGGAAUUCCUGGUGUAGCGGUGGAAUGCGCAGAUAUCAGGAGGAACACCGGUGGCGAAGGCGAGUCUCUGGGCAGUAACUGACGCUGAGGGGCGAAAGCGUGGGGAGCGAACAG